RNAcentral lists this non-coding RNA (169 nucleotides) under Clostridium autoethanogenum. RNAcentral describes it as "T-box sequence". It matches the Rfam family "T-box leader". From Rfam's summary of the family: Uncharged tRNA acts as the effector for transcription antitermination of genes in the T-box leader family. T-boxes are found upstream of many aminoacyl-tRNA synthetase genes and some amino acid biosynthetic genes usually in Gram-positive bacteria. The record is from RNAcentral. Lineage: Bacteria; Bacillati; Bacillota; Clostridia; Eubacteriales; Clostridiaceae.
AUAUAUGCUGUGAUAAAGAAUAGUAUUAAUGUAAAUCUCUACAGAGAAGUUGUGGAUGGUGUAAACAACUGGGAUUUUAUUUAUGAAGGAACUUUUGAGCUAACUAUGUAUUUAAAGAUGAGCUUGUGCUAAAGAGGGUGGAACCGCGGAAAUAAAAUUCGUCCCUUAU